Molecule: ribosomal RNA, 450 nt
Filed under: uncultured bacterium
Lineage: Bacteria
Description: bacterial SSU rRNA
Rfam family: Bacterial small subunit ribosomal RNA
Source: RNAcentral
AGUUUGAUCAUGGCUCAGAACGACGCUGGCGGCAUGCCUAACACAUGCAAGUCGAACGAACCCUUCGGGGUGAGUGGCGCACGGGUGCGUAACGCGUGGGAACCUGCCCUUAGGUUCGGAAUAACAGUGAGAAAUCGCUGCUAAUACCAGAUAAUGUCUUCGGACCAAAGAUUUAUCGCCUUUGGAUGGGCCCGCGUUGGAUUAGCUAGUUGGUGGGGUAAAGGCUCACCAAGGCGACGAUCCAUAGCUGGUCUUAGAGGAUGAUCAGCCACACUGGGACUGAGACACGGCCCAGACUCCUACGGGAGGCAGCAGUGGGGAAUAUUGGACAAUGGGCGAAAGCCUGAUCCAGCAAUGCCGCGUGAGUGAUGAAGGCCUUAGGGUUGUAAAGCUCUUUUACCAGGGAUGAUAAUGACAGUACCUGGAGAAUAAGCUCCGGCUAACUCCGUG